UAUAUCAGGAAAGUGGAUAAUAAAUAGAAGGUUGCCGCUGUGAAGCGGUGAAUUUAGCUGCAUCGGUCUGCGCUGCGGGUUUCCCCCUGAGAUAAACAACUUCGCAUUCUCUUAAACUGAAAUCGUUGCUCUAGGCUCGGCUCUAGGCUACAGGAAACGGAAGAUCUUUCCAGUCAAUGACGAGAUGUCCCAUUGGAAUCACCCAUACAAUGUUAGAGCGAUGGAAAUGGAUUUUUCAAAUGGACCCAGAGUGUGUCGCGGGGGAACAUCGCUGGCCAAAUUUCGGAUCUAUAAAAUACCAUCGAUACGGAAUCGAUGGCAGUAUUGUUGCUGACAAAUAAUCAUGGUUCGAGAGUCGUCAGUGUUGGAUCGGAAGAUCACAGUUAUAGGGCUGUCGAGGGCAAAAGCACCUGUAAAAUCAACGUGUACCUAGUCAAAUAAUAUCCAUUAUUGUAUAAUAAAAUAUGUCUAUAAAA
Long non-coding RNA from Armigeres subalbatus, 476 nucleotides. RefSeq lists it as uncharacterized. The transcript is spliced from 4 exons. The record is from RefSeq and is a predicted model, not a curated record. NCBI's taxonomy places the organism in Eukaryota, Metazoa, Arthropoda, Insecta, Diptera, Culicidae.